This 239-nucleotide ribosomal RNA is filed under the name uncultured bacterium. RNAcentral's name for it is "partial 16S ribosomal RNA". It matches the Rfam family "Bacterial small subunit ribosomal RNA", at positions 15 to 236 of the family's 1533-position model. The record is from RNAcentral.
GAUCAUGGCUCAGGAUGAACGCUGGCGGCGUGCUUAACACAUGCAAGUCGAGCGAAGCACUUAGGAAAGAUUCUUCGGAUGAUUUCCUAAGUGACUGAGCGGCGGACGGGUGAGUAACGCGUGGGUAACCUGCCCCAUACAGGGGGAUAACAGUUAGAAAUGACUGCUAAUACCGCAUAAGGCCACAGCACCGCAUGGUGCAGGGGUAAAAACUCCGGUGGUAUGAGAUGGACCCGCGU